CGUAGGGUGCGAGCGUUGAUCGGAAUUACUGGGCGUAAAGCGUGCGUAGGCGGUUCGUUGUGUCUGUGGUGAAAGCCCCCGGGCUUAACCUGGGAAUUGCCAUGGAAACUGGCGAGCUGGAGUGUGGCAGAGGAGGGUGGAAUUCCGCGUGUAGCAGUGAAAUGCGUAGAGAUGCGGAGGAACACCGAUGGCGAAGGCAGCCCUCUGGGCUAACACUGACGCUCAGGCACGAAAGCGUGGGGAGCAAACAGGAUUAGAUACCCUGGUAGUCCACGCCCUAAACGAUGGCAACUAGGUGUUGGGGAAGCGAUUCUCCAGUACCGUAGCUAACGCGUGAAGUUGCCCGCCUGGGGAGUACGGCCGCAAGGUUA
This 371-nucleotide ribosomal RNA is filed under the name uncultured organism. RNAcentral's name for it is "bacterial SSU rRNA". It matches the Rfam family "Bacterial small subunit ribosomal RNA", at positions 526 to 896 of the family's 1533-position model. The record is from RNAcentral.